This 396-nucleotide ribosomal RNA is filed under the name uncultured bacterium. Its description in RNAcentral is "bacterial SSU rRNA". It matches the Rfam family "Bacterial small subunit ribosomal RNA", at positions 28 to 389 of the family's 1533-position model. The record is from RNAcentral.
GACGAACGCUGGCGGCGUGCCUAAUACAUGCAAGUCGAGCGAGCUUGCCUAGAUGAUUUUAGUGCUUGCACUAAAUGAAACUAGAUACAAGCGAGCGGCGGACGGGUGAGUAACACGUGGGUAACCUGCCCAAGAGACUGGGAUAACACCUGGAAACAGAUGCUAAUACCGGAUAACAACACUAGACGCAUGUCUAGAGUUUGAAAGAUGGUUCUGCUAUCACUCUUGGAUGGACCUGCGGUGCAUUAGCUAGUUGGUAAGGUAACGGCUUACCAAGGCAAUGAUGCAUAGCCGAGUUGAGAGACUGAUCGGCCACAUUGGGACUGAGACACGGCCCAAACUCCUACGGGAGCAGCAUGUCUGAGUACGCUGAGCGGGCUGGGACAAGGCGCAUAG